This 497-nucleotide ribosomal RNA is filed under the name uncultured bacterium. RNAcentral's name for it is "partial 16S ribosomal RNA". It matches the Rfam family "Bacterial small subunit ribosomal RNA", at positions 28 to 507 of the family's 1533-position model. The record is from RNAcentral.
GACGAACGCUGGCGGCGUGCCUAAUACAUGCAAGUUGAGCGAUGAAGCUUGGUGCUUGCACCAAUUUGAAGAGCAGCGAACGGGUGAGUAACGCGUGGGGAAUCUGCCUUUGAGCGGGGGACAACAUUUGGAAACGAAUGCUAAUACCGCAUAACAACUUUAAACAUAAGUUUUAAGUUUGAAAGAUGCAAUUGCAUCACUCAAAGAUGAUCCCGCGUUGUAUUAGCUAGUUGGUGAGGUAAAGGCCCACCAAGGCGAUGAUACAUAGCCGACCUGAGAGGGUGAUCGGCCACAUUGGGACUGAGACACGGCCCAAACUCCUACGGGAGGCUGCAGUAGGGAAUCUUCGGCAAUGGACGAAAGUCUGACCGAGCAACGCCGCGUGAGUGAAGAAGGUUUUCGGAUCGUAAAACUCUGUUGGUAGAGAAGAACGUUGGUGAGAGUGGAAAGCUCAUCAAGUGACGGUAACUACCCAGAAAGGGACGGCUAACUACGUG